RNAcentral lists this transfer RNA (70 nucleotides) under Dipodomys ordii (Ord's kangaroo rat). It matches the Rfam family "tRNA". From Rfam's summary of the family: Transfer RNA (tRNA) molecules are approximately 80 nucleotides in length. Lineage: Eukaryota; Metazoa; Chordata; Mammalia; Rodentia; Heteromyidae. The record is from Rfam by way of RNAcentral.
GGGAAGGUGGCUCAGUGGUAGAGUGCUUGCCUUGCAUGCAUGAGGUCCUAGGUUCGAUUCCUCAGUACCA